AAGAUGGAGGAAAGCCAGGGAGCAGCUCUUGCAAAACCCUUCUGAGGGGAAAGGAAGGAUGUGUGAGGGAAAACACUGCUCUGGCUGCCAGUCGUUCUUGCCAGAACAGCUCAGCUGCUGGUGAGAGUGUGCUGGAUUGGGGGUGCCAGCCUGUGCCCCAAUGUUGAGUGUAGGGGAACUCAGAUGAAGUUAUAUAACCUGCCCUGGGGGCUCCUGCACAGAUAAGCUGGCAGAGGCCACUGGUGGUUCCUGACAAUUUCUGGAAUGAUUUUGUGAUACUCUCUGAGCCAACUGGACAUCCUGGGUUUUGUUGCAAAACUGACUGGGAAUUUUGGAUUCUCUUGAACAGAGCCUUGACCGGAGGAGACACAAAAGAAGUAGAGAGCGACCUUUGCUUUCAAGGAGAUUAUGAUUCAAUUUUGAAAGAGAAUGCAAAAUUGCCCAAACCUCCAUAAAUCAAGUGGGAGGAGGACUCCGUCUUAGAGGUGUUGAUCGGAUCAUCAUAGCUGGCCUGCACUCUGGAGUGAAGAUGGCCAGUGUUGGGCACAAUUAAUUCAUCCAUAGAAGGAAGAAGACAUUGAGGAAAAUAUCUCAAUGAAGUAAUGGAUUUAGAUGGUGUCAGGAACAUCUAAACAACACAGCACUUGCUUCUACAUCAAACGUGACAUUUGGCAUUGAGGCAGUCAAGAUAAGAUAUGCUCAGCAAGUCUGUGAAUGCCGAAUGCUGGGGAGCCCUGGAUUCCUGCAGAGUCAUUGAGAGGUUCGCCUUCACUGGCCUCUGUCUCCCAUGCAGGGACAAUUGUAUGAAAGCCCUUUCUCACCUCCAUCCGCCUCCAUGUGACCUUAUCCUUGGGCUGUUUCCUGUCUGCCCCACUGGUGACUGCUGGUCAGACUUUCUUAGGACGAAGCUUCCAGAGCUUUAUCUACUUCCUCUCCCGGCUGAUCAGGAGGUCUUAUUUGUGCAGCGAGUCUCCCUGAGCCUGAGACACAAGUUCUGAUAGACAACGCUGCCUUAUGAAGCGCCCAAGAUUGAUCAUGUGGUACUGGCCUUUUAAAAUCCUAGACACAAAAACCUCGGUACAAACAGGAAACAAAACAUCCCAAGAAGUAGCACAAAAGAAGAAGCCUACUGUUUCUUCCCCAAAUGGAUUACUAUUAAAUUAAUAUGGAACAUUCUCUGAAGGUGCCAGAAAGGCCUUGGAGAGGAAUGAGCAUUAUAAUACUACCAGGAGAAUUGCAGCUCUUAAAAAUGGUCAUGGCCGCUCAAAGCCAUCUUGCUCCAUCUGGAGAGAGUCUAUGAAAGUCAUCAACUGCCACGUGGAAGCUUAAUAAGGAAGGGACACUGCUGAGUCCUACAUACAGAAAUUGGUAAGAUAGACCUGAGCUUUUGCUGGGAAGAGAGAGAGUGAGAAGAACUUUUCGCUGAAGAGACUUUCAAGGUGGAAGAUGUCCAAGUUGCUUUGUCUACAUGACGGUGGCCAGGAGAGUAAGAGGAGGCGGUGGGUAUAAUUCCGUGUUUGUGACUCUUCAUCAACAGCUGCUCUGUGAAUCGCCUUCCCUUAAGGUUUUAAUUUCUUGUCAAUGUUUUCUUCUCAGCACCUCUCAAACCAUUCCCUUCUUUGGUGCUUUGUGUUUUUAACUUUUCCGUUGUUGUCGUUGCCUCCUGCUAACUUUCCCAGUGCAAGUAUUCUAAUUACUUUGAAACAACCCUAAGUAAGGCAUUUGAGGAACCAAUUGAGUUUUUUUGUCUCCUCAGCUCUUUUUCCUCCGGCUCAUGUCCAGCGCAAUUGUUUCCCCAUUGCAUUAUUUUAUUUGAAGUGGCCUAUAUUCAUGAUACUACGGAUUUAAGAUAACACAAAUAAUUCGUAAGUUAGUAUGACGAAGUAAUGACUUUUACUCUCAGUUGGUUCUGCUCCUGUUUCUCAUCCAUUCUUUCUGCUUUGGCUUUUUCUUUCAGUGUCUUUAAUCAUUAUCUCAUUGCAUCUUCAUAUAAAUUAUCUUGUUUUAUUUUCACAUCUACCACUUAGAGAGGUAGUGAGGUGCGGUGGAGAAUUCAAGUUACGUGCUAUGUGCUUUACGUAUGGGUUUUCAUUUAGUCUUUACAAUAACUGUUUCAGGUAGGUAUUCUUAUUCCUUUUUCGCAGGUGAGGAAACCGAGCCCAAGAAGGUUUAGGAACUCUCCCAGUCUCACAUAGUUGAUCGGUGAUGGAGCCAGGGUAUAAAACUCAAAGCUUGUGAUUUAAUUACCAUACUCUAUUAUCUCGCUGUGUAACCACUAUUUAUGGGGUCCUUACUAAGCACCAGGCAACUUUAGAUGCCUUCUCUUGUAAGUGAUCUAGCAGCUCUAUAAGGACUUAAAUAGCUACAUAACUUACUAGCUGUGCGACUGCCAGUUAACGUGCCUGAGCCAUACUUACUUCAUCUCUCACAUAACACUAAUAGUACUUUUCGAUCUCUGCCCCACAAUUACUGUGAAGAAUUUAUGAGAGAAGGAAUAUGAAAAUAAUCUUUAAACCAGGAAGCACGAUGUAAUGGUAUACAUUGUAAGCGUGGAAACGUUAUUACUCCAUUAAUUAGAUAAUUUUCCAGAUGAGAAAUCUUAGGAAAAGAGAGGUAGAUGUAACUUCAGCCACAAGUGUCCCCUGUGUGUCAGGCACUGUCCUUAGCACCUGGUGGAGUGGUCUGCCCAAGGUCUCCUGGUUCAUUAGGGGCACAUCUGGAAUUAGAGUUGGGCGCGUUCCCUCGAGAUGGAGUGAAGAGUGCUUUCUAAGACAUUCCUUGUCCCAGAGGUGAGGUACUAAGCUGAAGAUGGUGAUACCCAAAGUUGCUGCUGAAUUUAAGAAUGGAAUUUAUUUCAUGCGAACUUUCCCUCCUGGAGUUUUAUACCAGUCUGGUUGCCUUUUGCCGGGCAUUGCCCUAGUCCUGCAGUAUUGUAUGAUUUUCCAGUGUAGUAGAUGAUAUCCAGAUUUCUUUAGCCUCUUUUAGAAAUUUCUUGCUAUAAAGUGCUGGAUCUGGAGCUUUUUAAUAUUCAAUCAUUGAUUUACUUUUUAAACAAAUGGAAAUGGAAGCAAGAUGUUUGGUUUGAGAACCUUCAUGGUUUGCCCAUGCCGAUUUUGCAGGUGCCCAAGUGCCACAUAUGUUUUCUUGGGGACACAGAGUCACAGAAAGCAAGGCUCAGGUCGCCACUUGUGUUUUUUAUCUGCUGGUAUGUACUCUAUGGGGAGAUAGAUGGUCUUCUGUCCUCUCUCCCAAAUAAUGAGACAGGAUACCCAGGGCACGAGUCAGCGACAAGGGCUCUCUGGAUUAUCUUCCCUCUUGCCGCUGGCUCUCACUGGACCCUCAGAGGGGGAGGAUCAUUAUCCUUCGCCGGACUGGAUGAUGUUUGGAAGAAUGUGGCUGCAGUAAGGAUAUAUUUGAGAUAAUGAGGAAGAGACUUAUACCAGGGAAACAAGGCUUUUCGUAGCGGGCCUCUGAGGCUCGGGCAAACAAACUCAAGGCUGAGCUAUUCGCAGCCAAUUUUUUAAAGUGAUAUUCAGGUAACAAUUUGAGCGAAUAGAAAAAUUAUUUUAGCAAAAAAUCUCAAAACAAAUCAAUGCAUAGACUAGAGAUGAGUAAUUUCAUGGGUUAGCGCAAAGCUAUUAACCAAUAACACGAAAGCAAAUUCCUAUUAUUAAAGAAUUCUAUUGCGAAGUUACAGAAAAUUCAUGACUUUCCUAGAAGGAAAAUGAGCACUUGUUUUAUUUACAUUAAAAAAAGUCAUGUUUAAGAUUCCUUACAAGUGGUAUGUGUGUUUAUGUAUGUGUAUGUAUUUAAUUAAACAAAUUAAUUAAAUUAAUUAAACAAAGUUUAACUUAAAUGUAUAUUUAAUUAAAAACAUGUAUUUAAUUAAAUACAUGCUUAAUUAAAUGUGGUUUAAUUUGUUUAUUCAUCUCAAAUUAUAGAGCAGUCUGUAGUUUAGAUGGGACAUGGUUUCUAUCAGUCUUGACCUGUUUUUCAGAUGUCUUAUUUUUUUGAAUGGGUAAGAGAAGAAGAGAUGGCAAUAAUAAUAAUAAAAUUAAUGAUAAUAGUAAUAAUAAUAACAUUUGUAUAGUGCUUUGCAGGGUUAAUCUCUUUUAAACUUCGAAACUCAGAGAGAGGGUUUUUGACCAGGGAGUCAGGCAGGCCAGGCAUUAUUAUCGUUAUUUUUUAUGAUUGAAUAUUUUUUUUAUCAUAGUCAUGUUAAAAAACUUAAAGUCAAAUAUUUUUGAAUUAAUAAAGCAAGUAGGAUUUUACUUACAAAACAUAACAGGUUUCUGGUAAAACACUGCCCUAGUUGGCAACACAUAUUAUGUGAGAAAGGCACGUGACACAGCUGUGUAUAAAGACUAGUGCGAGGUGGUUGCUUAGAAAACCCCAUUCUCUUCCUUCCCUGGGCAUGGCUGUGUCGUUAGUGCCUGGCGCUCUGCUAGGUCAUCUGGAGGAAACACAGUGUGUUUAGGACGUGCUGCAUGCCCUCAUGCUGUCUGUGAUCUGACUGGAAAGAAAGAGCAUGGCCAUCUCUGAAGCAGGAACUGUGGCUAGAGCUGCCCGGGUCAUGCACCCACCCUGGAGUUGUGGCGCAGGUAAGCCCACCCCAGCCACAUACACCGAGAGGGUGAAGGGCAGUUCCCCAAAGUAAAGUCAAACUAUCGUUUCCAGGUAAAAAGUGAAUGGAUUAUGGGCAACAGAUGUCCAUCCCAGGUGCUUCUUCUGAUGUCCCUAGAGUUAAAAAGUCCCAGGUGUUCCCACUCUCCAAAGCCCUCCCUGUUUCUCUCAACUCUCCUCUCUCCCAGUGCAAUUCUGUCAUUUCUAGUUGCAAAACGGAAUGCGUUUCCCCCAUAGAAACAGGGUUAUAAAUGCUGGUUAAGCGUAGUUAAUAUGGUACCAUUUUUAGUGUAUAGUUCAAAUACAUUAACUUUAAAGAGCCUUUUGUGGGUAGUUUUGAGGAUUUAACCAUAAUUUAUAAUACAGUGUCUAUGUGAAAAUAUGUGCUGAGAAACCGAACACUCAAACCAACAGACAAACUCUUGGAACGUAAGCUGGGCUUGUAGGAGUAUGAUUGAUGCUAAAUUGCGCAAUAGAACCUGGAAGGGCUGAGACUGCUCAGAGAAAGGGGAGUUCCGUUGGAGCUCUGUGGGCCUGGGGAAGGGGUGGGUACAUGAUGCUAUCAGUCCAUCAGCCUCUUGAUAGCAUCAAAAUCUGACUCAUGUUUCCCACAUAGCAUCCUGUGGAUAUAAGGGUGACCUGAGUCUCACGUCUCAGGGCCGCUGAUCUGGUGCUGACCAGAUAGCACUUCUUUCCUCUCCCGUUACCCCAACUAUGUCCCACCUGAAACUACAUCUUUACUUGAAAACGAGAGGAGGAAUAUAUUUUGAUUAAGAGGUCUUUUCUAUUUGUUUCAAACAUUUUAAAUACAAAAAUAUAAGAAAAUGUAAAAUGUUUUACAUAGAAUAUAAGAGUGAAAAUUCCCCCACCUUUACCCCAGUGCUGCCCCCCCGCAGUGAAGUAUUCACUGCUUCGUAUAUUUCAGGGCUCAUUUUAUAAAAUGAAUUUCUUAAUGUGAAAAUAAGUUACAUCUCCUAGUUUUAUCAACAUCAGGCAAUGUGGGCAGGAAAAGUGUCUAUAAUGGUUCAGGACUUUUCUGUUCCAGCCCAGUGGUUUAUUACAGUUUGAAUGGGAGUAGGCAUGGAUGUUGGGGAGACGGAGGGAGAAUUGAAAGAUGAGUAGAGUAAGUGUAGUUUGAGAGGUUCUACACGUCUAAUACGGUAUCUCCUCCUGCUUUGAAAAUCAUUGCUUCCUAUUUCAAAGUAGGCCAUACCUGACCUCUCCAUGGUUUACGGCACGUGUUCUUUAACUGAUGGCCUGUUUUUAAACAAUAUCACACCACUUAUUUAAGAAUGCUUUCAUUUUCUAAGUGUUUCACUAUUGCUUUCAUAAUUUUUCUUCUAUGUGUAUUAAACCCACGAUACGUUUUUUACUUUAGUUAUUUAUCUUUUGAUGGAACUAAAAAAAUUAAUAAGUAUUUUAUAUUUACCCACAUAUACACCAUUUCCUGCAGUCUUCAUUCUUUUUUUUAUGAUCCAAAUUUCCGUUUCAAAUUGAGGAGGUGACUGAAUGAAGCCUUGGUGAGUCUCGUGCACGGCAGGUGUUUGCAGAGAAGCAACCACAAGUUCCGGAUCCCCAGGCGGGAGUUGGUACAGAAGCACCGAGAGAAGUGGUGGACUGGGGGAGGCCUGUAGCCUAGACUGGAAAGCCAUGCACCACAGGACAUUCAGAUGGAGGUUGCGGUGGUGACCUGGACUGUAGUCAUGGUGACUGUCUGUUGAUGUGAUCAGGGGGUGGGGACUUUGAGCCACAUAUCAGUCUAACUUCUCACCCUCUGGGUUGGGUAGAGGGGGCUGGAUAUCGAGUUGACUCUUAUGGCCCGUGGUUCAAUCAAUCAUGCCUACAUAAUAAAACCCCAAUAACAACUCUGGACACUGAAACUUGGCAGAACAUCCAGGUUGUUGAACUCAUUGAUUUGCUGGCGGGAUGACACUGAUUCUAUGGGGAAAGGGCUCAUGAGUUCUACAAUUGGGACCCUUCCAGACCUCACCUUAUGUGUCCCUUCAUUUGACCGGUCCUGAUUUGUACCUUUUAUAAUAAAACUGUAAUUGUAA
Equus caballus (horse) is the source of this 6677-nucleotide long non-coding RNA. The record is from Ensembl. NCBI's taxonomy places the organism in Eukaryota, Metazoa, Chordata, Mammalia, Perissodactyla, Equidae.